This 602-nucleotide long non-coding RNA is filed under the name Lactuca sativa (garden lettuce). RNAcentral's name for it is "long non-coding RNA (LSAT_LNC007632)". The record is from RNAcentral. Lineage: Eukaryota; Viridiplantae; Streptophyta; Magnoliopsida; Asterales; Asteraceae.
AAAAGGCGAGAGGCCUCGAUGUUGUUGUUGUAGUCAUCUAGCGGAGUAUAGAUGACGACCACGGACUUUUCUAGACAGUGGAACACUAGCGGGUUCGCAACUUGUAGGUGUUUAUGAAUUAAAUGUUCAUUGGCGUACUCCAUCCCCCUCAUGGUUGCCUUAAGGACAUGUAUGGCUGAGGAAACCCUUUAGCAGUAGUGUCCAUCCCGAUGAUAAUCCUUAGGCUAGGUCCCUUGUGAUAGGUGUUUAGGGACGNAAUACAAAAUUUAAAGUCAAAAUUACCCGACGAAGUCUAAACGGAAGUUGUAGAGAGUAAUUUUAGCUACACAUGCAUAUAAAGAACGUCAAAAACGGAGCUCGUAUGCGAAAGUUAUGAAUUUUAGAAGUUUUUGCCACAAAAUCGGAGAAAUUUCGCAUAGAUAANGUGAUAGGUGUUUAGGGACGUAAAGUGAGGACAACGGGAAUGGGUAAUCAGGGUUAUUGUUGAUUGGUGAACUUAAUAAGUAUAUUAUUAUUGUGGGUUGAAAACCCUAUAUGCUCACCAGGCUCCCAAGCCUGACCCACUCAGUUUUAUGAUUACAGAUAGUGGAUCCCGAGCAUAG